RNAcentral lists this ribosomal RNA (501 nucleotides) under uncultured bacterium. Its description in RNAcentral is "bacterial SSU rRNA". It matches the Rfam family "Bacterial small subunit ribosomal RNA", at positions 29 to 520 of the family's 1533-position model. The record is from RNAcentral.
AGUGAACGCUGGCGGCGUGCUUAACACAUGCAAGUCGAACGAGAACGGAUUAUAGCUUGCUAUAAUUGUCAGCUAAGUGGCGCACGGGUGAGUAAUAUAUAGGUAACGUGCCCUAGAGAGGGGGAUAACAGUUGGAAACGAUUGCUAACACCCCAUAUGCCUUUAAGACUUAAGUCUGCAAGGGAAAUAUUUAUAGCUCUAGGAUCGGCCUGUACAGUAUCAGUUAGUUGGUGAGGUAAUGGCUCACCAAGACAAUGACGCUUAACUGGUUUGAGAGGAUGAUCAGCCACACGGGCACUGAGACACGGGCCCGACUCCUACGGGAGGCAGCAGUAGGGAAUAUUGGACAAUGGGCGCAAGCCUGAUCCAGCCAUCCCGCGUGAAGGAUUAAGGCCCUCUGGGUUGUAAACUUCUUUUCUUUGGGAAUAAAAACUCCGUUUCUACGGAGCUUGAAGGUACCAGAGGAAUAAGCACCGGCUAACUCCGUGCCAGCAGCCGUAC